GGCGGACGGGUGAGUAAUGCUUGGGAACUUGCCUUUGCGAGGGGGAUAACAGUUGGAAACGACUGCUAAUACCGCAUAACGUCUACGGACCAAAGGGGGCUUUUAGCUCUCGCGUGAAGAGAGGCCCAAGUGAGAUUAGCUAGUUGGUGAGGUAAAGGCUCACCAAGGCGACGAUCUCUAGCUGUUCUGAGAGGAAGAUCAGCCACACUGGAACUGAGACACGGCCCAGACUCCUACGGGAGGCAGCAGUGGGGAAUAUUGCACAAUGGGGGAAACCCUGAUGCAGCCAUGCCGCGUGUGUGAAGAAGGCCUUCGGGUUGUAAAGCACUUUCAGUUGUGAGGAAAGGUUGGUAGUUAAUACCUGCCAGCUGUGACGUUAACAACAGAAGAAGCACCGGCUAACUCCGUGCCAGCAGCCGCGGUAAUACGGAGGGUGCGAGCGUUAAUCGGAAUUACUGGGCGUAAAGCGCACGCAGGCGGUUUGUUAAGCUAGAUGUGAAAGCCCCGGGCUCAACCUGGGAUGGUCAUUUAGAACUGGCAGACUAGAGUCUUGGAGAGGGGAGUGGAAUUCCAGGUGUAGCGGUGAAAUGCGUAGAGAUCUGGAGGAAACAUCAGUUGGCGAAGGCGACUCCCUGGCCAAAGACUGACGCUCAUGUGCGAAAAGUGUGGGUANGCGAACCUUGU
RNAcentral lists this ribosomal RNA (684 nucleotides) under uncultured bacterium. Its description in RNAcentral is "bacterial SSU rRNA". It matches the Rfam family "Bacterial small subunit ribosomal RNA", at positions 97 to 778 of the family's 1533-position model. The record is from RNAcentral.